CUCUUAUCCAGAGUAGGUGGAGGGACAGGCCCUUUGAAGCCCAGCAACCGUCAUGUAAAAUAUGACAUGGUGCUAACCUGAAGCAAGGACGAAUACUCCUUGGACGAUAAGAG
This 113-nucleotide non-coding RNA is filed under the name Halobacillus halophilus. RNAcentral's name for it is "SAM-I sequence". It matches the Rfam family "SAM riboswitch aptamer (S box leader)". Rfam says of the family: The SAM riboswitch is found upstream of a number of genes which code for proteins involved in methionine or cysteine biosynthesis in Gram-positive bacteria. The SAM riboswitch acts at the level of transcription termination control. Lineage: Bacteria; Bacillati; Bacillota; Bacilli; Caryophanales; Bacillaceae. RNAcentral also lists the same sequence under 1 other name. The record is from RNAcentral.